Molecule: ribosomal RNA, 468 nt
Filed under: uncultured bacterium
Lineage: Bacteria
Description: partial 16S ribosomal RNA
Rfam family: Bacterial small subunit ribosomal RNA
Source: RNAcentral
GACGAACGCUGGCGGCGUGCUUAACACAUGCAAGUCGAACGGAAAGGCCCUGCUUUUGUGGGGUGCUCGAUUGGCGAACGGGUGAGUAACACGUGAGUAACCUGCCCUUGACUUUGGGAUAACUUCAGGAAACUGGGGCUAAUACCGGAUAGGAGCUCCUGCUGCAUGGUGGGGGUUGGUAAGUUUCGGCGGUGCGGGAUGGACUCGCGGGUUAGCAGCCUGUAGUUGGGGUAGUGGCUUACCAAGGCUUUGACGGGUAGCCGACCUUGGAAGGUGAACAGCCACAUUGGGACUGAGAUACGGACCAGUGUCCUACAGGGGGCAGCAGUGGGGAAUAUUGCCCAGUGGGCGGAAGCCUGAUGAAGCAACGCCCCGUGCGUGAUGACGGCCUUCGGGUUGUAAAACGCUUUCGGCUGUGACGAAGCGUGAGUGACGGUAAUGGGUAAAGAAGCACCGGCUAACUACGUG